RNAcentral lists this ribosomal RNA (468 nucleotides) under uncultured bacterium. Its description in RNAcentral is "partial 16S ribosomal RNA". It matches the Rfam family "Bacterial small subunit ribosomal RNA", at positions 28 to 507 of the family's 1533-position model. The record is from RNAcentral.
GACGAACGCUGGCGGCGUGCUUAACACAUGCGAGUCGAACGGAAAGGCCCUGCUUUUGUGGGGUGCUCGAGUGGCGAACGGGUGAGUAACACGUGAGUAACCUGCCCUUGACUUUGGGAUAACUUCAGGAAACUGGGGCUAAUACCGGAUAGGAGCUCCUGCUGCAUGGUGGGGGUUGGAAAGUUUCGGCGGUUGGGGAUGGACUCGCGGCUUAUCAGCUUGUUGGUGGGGGAGUGGCUUACCAAGGCUUUGACGGGUAGCCGGCCUGGGAGGGUGACCGGCCACAUUGGGACUGAGAUACGGCCCAGACUCCUACGGGAGGCAGCAGUGGGGAAUAUUGCACAAUGGGCGGAAGCCUGAUGCAGCAACGCCGCGUGCGGGAUGACGGCCUUCGGGUUGUAAACCGCUUUCGCCUGUGACGAAGCGUGAGUGACGGUAAUGGGUAAAGAAGCACCGGCUAACUACGUG